ACGGAGGGUGCGAGCGUUAAUCGGAAUCACUGGGCGUAAAGCGCACGUAGGCGGUGUCGUAAGUCGGAUGUGAAAGCCCUCGGCUCAACCGGGGAACUGCAUUCGAUACUGCAAGGCUUGAGUGCCGGAGAGGGAGGCGGAAUUCCAGGUGUAGGGGUGAAAUCCGUAGAUAUCUGGAGGAACACCAGUGGCGAAGGCGGCUUACUGGGCGGUAACUGACGCUGAGGUGCGAAAGCGUGGGGAGCAAACAG
This 251-nucleotide ribosomal RNA is filed under the name uncultured prokaryote. RNAcentral describes it as "partial 16S rRNA". It matches the Rfam family "Bacterial small subunit ribosomal RNA", at positions 525 to 775 of the family's 1533-position model. The record is from RNAcentral.